Molecule: ribosomal RNA, 457 nt
Filed under: uncultured bacterium
Lineage: Bacteria
Description: bacterial SSU rRNA
Rfam family: Bacterial small subunit ribosomal RNA
Source: RNAcentral
CGCGUGAGUGAAGAAGGCCUCGGGUCGUAAAGCUCUGUCGGACGGGAAGAACCUGUGGCGGAAUAAUAUGCCGCCGCACUGACGGUACCGUCGAAGGAAGCACCGGCUAACUCCGUGCCAGCAGCCGCGGUAAUACGGAGGGUGCAAGCGUUAUUCGGAAUUAUUGGGCGUAAAGGGCGCGUAGGCGGUCCUUCAGGUCGGAUGUGAAAUCCCGGGGCUUAACCCCGGAAGUGCAUUCGAAACCGCAGGACUUGAGUAUGGGAGAGGGAAGCGGAAUUCCUGGUGUAGCGGUGAAAUGCGUAGAUAUCAGGGAGGAACANCGGUGGCGAAGGCGGCUUCCUGGACCAAUACUGACGCUGAUGCGCGAAGCGUGGGGANCCAACAGGAUUANAUACCCUGGUANUCCACGCAGUAAACGGUGAUCACUAAGUGUACGGGUAUUUACCCUGCUGUGCCG